This is a long non-coding RNA of Mytilus californianus (California mussel), 1654 nucleotides long. RefSeq lists it as uncharacterized. The record is from RefSeq and is a predicted model, not a curated record. NCBI's taxonomy places the organism in Eukaryota, Metazoa, Mollusca, Bivalvia, Mytilida, Mytilidae. The transcript is spliced from 3 exons.
CAUCAAUUGUAAUUAAAACAGACUUGGAAAAGAAGGUCUUGCAAUGCAUACCAAAUGGUGAACCUCAACAUUAUACAUUUUAUCCAUGGAUACACCAGACAGAAUUUGGAGAGAUUAUCCGUUAUCUGAAAAGCACAGAAACGAUCAACUUGCAAGUAAACGAUGCCACAUUGAAUGUGUACCAAUACAAUGGGAUAUAUGUCUGUAGAGCAGCGAAUGGUGUGUCAUAUGAAAAUGCUACGGAAAUUCAGUCAGGACAAGUGUUCGUGAGGCAAAAUGACAAACCAGUGUUUGUGGAACAAAACGAACAUAUACAGUAUGGAAGAACUGGUACGGAAAUUGAUAUAAGAGUCUUCGUGUAUUGUUAUCCAAAGUUCAACAACUUGAGUGUUAAAACUCGUGGAAUUUUUUCAGUUGAACACAACUAUAUAGCCAUUGAAAAUGCAGUUGUUACUGACAAAAUCUAUUCAAAAGAUUUUCGAAUGAACGGAUUCAAAAUAACACUUCUAGGAUUUAUUAUUGAAGCAAACGACUUCACUUCAUACACAUUUUGGAUAGAAAACUCUCUUGGUAAUGCUAACUUUACUGUCGACCUUAUAGAUGCUGAAAAACAAUCUGCUCAAUCGUUAAACAUUUCCUGGCAAAUAUCUGGUAGCUCCAUAGGAGGACUUCUUUUUGGAAUUGCUUGCACCAUUUUCUUGGGUUUGUGUCGUGAGCGAAGGAGGACGAAUGCUAGACAGCAAGUCCAUCAAGAGGUACACUAUGAUGAAAUAGAGCUAGUAGACAACAAUGUUAGUUCUCCAACACAACCCACUACCCAUCCAGUUGAUGCAGAUUCUGUGAUAGUUCAAGAACCAGAAUCAGAAAACAGUGGCUUUGAGAUUUCAAGUGAAGCUAAUAGCAGCGACGACAUGUCAAGCAGAAAUAUAUAUGUUGCAAGUGAACAACAAGACUACGAAAAUUCCUAUCAACUUUUAGAUUUAGACAACUCUGAAAAACAUAUGUAUGACGAAACACAGGUGUGCAGUAUCAACAUUUUGUCUGCUGAAAAUACCUAUGUAAAUACUGUUCUGUAAAACCACUUUGCACACAAUUGGCAUUUGUUUAAAUGACAAGCAAAUCUUCCUUUGUUUAAAUACUGGUAAUCACGGCAUUUCUGCUCAUGAUACACUGGAAAAGGUACAGAAUUUUUGCUUUAAGCAACGUUAUAUCAAAUGAAACUAAGACAACCGUGCCUUUCAACGACAUAGCGAUUUGAAUUGUGUACAGAUGUUAAAUGUGUACAUUAAGUUGGGCAAAUGCCUUGAAGGAAUAUAAGCUUACACACAACUUCAAUAACAAUAUGAUUUGCCCAUUUUCUUUAGUUGCAUCGAAUGUAGAUAAAUUAAUUUUCACUAAGUUUACAAAAUGAAUGUCAAAAUGAAAACCAUAUACUGUAUUACGGAAAACAUAGUGUGGUGCACCGGUACCUUACAUGACGUAGUAAUCUGAUUGUAAAUGAUAGUUACAAGUAUAAUAAAAUGAAGUGAUACGGCCAUGGAACCAAACGUAUGACCCUGUAUCUUUACUGCAUGUUUCCUCCUCAAUUUUUAUGCCUAAAAUGUAGUCCCUGCAAUAGAUACUGUAUAUACAGAAAUUAUUGCGAGGUUUUUAU